Molecule: long non-coding RNA, 872 nt
Organism: Oryctolagus cuniculus (rabbit)
Lineage: Eukaryota; Metazoa; Chordata; Mammalia; Lagomorpha; Leporidae
Source: RefSeq, a predicted model, not a curated record
ACUUCCGAGGCCGCCGUCCUGCGGAGAAGGGUGGCCGCGGUCCUGCGGAGGGUGAACGCCCUGCGGACUUGCGGCCCCUGGGCCGGCGGCUUCCGACCAGCCGACCCGCAGUGUCCUAGAGUCGGAUCCCAGAGAUGAGAGCCAGCCUGUUCCGAGGGUGGAAUCUGGGGCCGGGAUGAGAGUGCCUGUCCACCGAGACCUUGAGGGCGGGAUUAUCUUCAGAUCCUCGUCGCCUUGUACAGUGCAAGAGCAGGUUUGCAUUCACCCAGGUGCGCAUGCGAUGCAGCGGUUGAAGCCGCCUCUCGGGACGCCCAUAACCCAUAUCAGACCGCUAGUUUGAGUCCCAGCUACUCUGCACCAGCAGCCCAUUCCUGCUAAUGCACCUGUGUGGGAGCAGAUGCGGGCUGAAGUACUGGGUUCCUGCCACUCGUAUAGGAGAACCACAUAGAGUUCCUGGCUCCUGGCUUCAGCCUGGCCCAGCCAUGGCUAUUGCAGGCAUCUGGGAAAUGAACCAGCAGAUGGAAGAUCUCGCUCUCUCUCUCUCUCCUCUGUCAUUCUGCCUUUCAAAUAAAUAAAUUAAAAAAAAAAAAAAAAAACUUGGACUUCUUGACAGCUCUUAUUAAUUUUCAAUUGUACAUUUACUUGUGAGAUGUGAUUACCAUACCUCCUAUACUAGAUUGUAAGGACCAUGAGGGCUUGUUCCUAGUCCAGGUAUGUUCACCAUUAGUGCCUGGUAUACAACAGGCUACAAAAACUAGCUGAAUGACUAAAUAAACACCUACUCAUUGAAUACACCUCUCUGCCAUUUGCUGAGGACAGGUCUGGGAAGCUAGGGAAUCAAUCAAUCUUAAAAAAAAAAAAAAAAAAGUAAA